GAUGAACGCUGGCGGCGUGCCUAAUACAUGCAAGUCGAGCGAACGGACGAGAAGCUUGCUUCUCUGACGUUAGCGGCGGACGGGUGAGUAACACGUGGAUAACCUACCUAUAAGACUGGGAUAACUUCGGGAAACCGUAGCUAAUACCGGAUAAUAUUUUGAACCGCAUGGUUCAACAGUGAAAGACGGUCUUGCUGUCACUUAUAGAUGGAUCCGCGCUGCAUUAGCUAGUUGGUAAGGUAACGGCUUACCAAGGCAACGAUGCAUAGCCGACCUGAGAGGGUGAUCGGCCACACUGGAACUGAGACACGGUCCAGACUCCUACGGGAGGCAGCAGUAGGGAAUCUUCCGCAAUGGGCGAAAGCCUGACGGAGCAACGCCGCGUGAGUGAUGAAGGUCUUCGGAUCGUAAAACUCUGUUAUUAGGGAAGAACAAAUGUGUAAGUAACUGUGCACAUCUUGACGGUACCUAAUCAGAAAGCCACGGCUAACUACGUG
Molecule: ribosomal RNA, 497 nt
Filed under: uncultured bacterium
Lineage: Bacteria
Description: partial 16S ribosomal RNA
Rfam family: Bacterial small subunit ribosomal RNA
Source: RNAcentral